RNAcentral lists this ribosomal RNA (413 nucleotides) under uncultured bacterium. RNAcentral's name for it is "bacterial SSU rRNA". It matches the Rfam family "Bacterial small subunit ribosomal RNA", at positions 505 to 916 of the family's 1533-position model. The record is from RNAcentral.
GUGUCAGCCGCCGCGGUAAUACGUAGGGGGCGAGCGUUGUCCGGAAUGAUUGGGCGUAAAGGGCGCGCAGGCGGCCUGUCAAGUCAGUAGUGGAAGUCCAUUUUUCAAGGAUGGAAGUGCUAUAGAAACUGAUGGGCUUGAGUGCAGGAGAGGUUAUCGGAAUUCCCGGUGUAGCGGUGAAAUGCGUAGAGAUCGGGAGGAACACCAGUGGCGAAGGCGGGUAACUGGACUGCAACUGACGCUGAGGCGCGAAAGUGUGGGGAGCAAACAGGAUUAGAUACCCUGGUAGUCCACACUGUAAACGAUGAAUGCUAGGUGUAGGGGGUAUCGACCCCUUCUGUGCCGAAGUAAACACAAUAAGCAUUCCGCCUGGGGAGUACGGUCGCAAGAUUAAAACUCAAAUAAAUUGACGG